RNAcentral lists this transfer RNA (61 nucleotides) under Haustorioides koreanus. RNAcentral describes it as "tRNA-Tyr". The record is from RNAcentral. Lineage: Eukaryota; Metazoa; Arthropoda; Malacostraca; Amphipoda; Dogielinotidae.
AGCCCGCGUGGUGUAACUAACACGCUAAGUUGUAAACUUAGAGUUAUUUUUAUCGGGGUUA